GGAAAGGCGCGCGAUACAGGGUGACAGCCCCGUACACAAAAAUGCACAUGCUGUGAGCUCGAUGAGUAGGGCGGGACACGUGGUAUCCUGUCUGAAUAUGGGGGGACCAUCCUCCAAGGCUAAAUACUCCUGACUGACCGAUAGUGAACCAGUACCGUGAGGGAAAGGCGAAAAGAACCCCGGCGAGGGGAGUGAAAAAGAACCUGAAACCGUGUACGUACAAGCAGUGGGAGCACGCUUAGGCGUGUGACUGCGUACCUUUUGUAUAAUGGGUCAGCGACUUAUAUUCUGUAGCAAGGUUAACCGAAUAGGGGAGCCGAAGGGAAACCGAGUCUUAACUGGGCGUUAAGUUGCAGGGUAUAGACCCGAAACCCGGUGAUCUAGCCAUGGGCAGGUUGAAGGUUGGGUAACACUAACUGGAGGACCGAACCGACUAAUGUUGAAAAAUUAGCGGAUGACUUGUGGCUGGGGGUGAAAGGCCAAUCAAACCGGGAGAUAGCUGGUUCUCCCCGAAAGCUAUUUAGGUAGCGCCUCGUGAAUUCAUCUCCGGGGGUAGAGCACUGUUUCGGCAAGGGGGUCAUCCCGACUUACCAACCCGAUGCAAACUGCGAAUACCGGAGAAUGUUAUCACGGGAGACACACGGCGGGUGCUAACGUCCGUCGUGAAGAGGGAAACAACCCAGACCGCCAGCUAAGGUCCCAAAGUCAUGGUUAAGUGGGAAACGAUGUGGGAAGGCCCAGACAGCCAGGAUGUUGGCUUAGAAGCAGCCAUCAUUUAAAGAAAGCGUAAUAGCUCACUGGUCGAGUCGGCCUGCGCGGAAGAUGUAACGGGGCUAAACCAUGCACCGAAGCUGCGGCAGCGACACUAUGUGUUGUUGGGUAGGGGAGCGU
This 891-nucleotide ribosomal RNA is filed under the name Escherichia coli. RNAcentral's name for it is "partial 23S ribosomal RNA". It matches the Rfam family "Bacterial large subunit ribosomal RNA", at positions 344 to 1239 of the family's 2925-position model. Lineage: Bacteria; Pseudomonadati; Pseudomonadota; Gammaproteobacteria; Enterobacterales; Enterobacteriaceae. The record is from RNAcentral.